Molecule: ribosomal RNA, 877 nt
Filed under: Corynebacterium coyleae
Lineage: Bacteria; Bacillati; Actinomycetota; Actinomycetes; Mycobacteriales; Corynebacteriaceae
Description: partial 16S ribosomal RNA
Rfam family: Bacterial small subunit ribosomal RNA
Source: RNAcentral
GAGGAGUGCGGCUGCUACCAUGCAGUCGAACGGAAAGGCUCACAUGCUUGCAGGGGUACUCGAGUGGCGAACGGGUGAGUAACACGUGGGUGAUCUGCCCCGCACUUCGGGAUAAGCCUGGGAAACUGGGUCUAAUACCGGAUAGGACCACGGCUUGGAGGCCGUGGUGGAAAGUUUUUUCGGUGUGGGAUGAGCUCGCGGCCUAUCAGCUUGUUGGUGGGGUAAUGGCCUACCAAGGCGUCGACGGGUAGCCGGCCUGAGAGGGUGUACGGCCACAUUGGGACUGAGAUACGGCCCAGACUCCUACGGGAGGCAGCAGUGGGGAAUAUUGCACAAUGGGCGCAAGCCUGAUGCAGCGACGCCGCGUGGGGGAUGACGGCCUUCGGGUUGUAAACUCCUUUCGCUAGGGACGAAGCGCAAGUGACGGUACCUAGAGAAGAAGCACCGGCUAACUACGUGCCAGCAGCCGCGGUAAUACGUAGGGUGCGAGCGUUGUCCGGAAUUACUGGGCGUAAAGAGCUCGUAGGUGGUUUGUCGCGUCGUUUGUGUAAGCCCGCAGCUUAACUGCGGGACUGCAGGCGAUACGGGCAUAACUUGAGUGCUGUAGGGGAGACUGGAAUUCCUGGUGUAGCGGUGGAAUGCGCAGAUAUCAGGAGGAACACCGAUUGCGAAGGCAGGUCUCUGGGCAGUAACUGACGCUGAGGAGCGAAAGCAUGGGGAGCGAACAGGAUUAGAUACCCUGGUAGUCCAUGCCGUAAACGGUGGGCGCUAGGUGUGAGUCCCUUCCACGGGGUUCGUGCCGUAGCUAACGCAUUAAGCGCCCCGCCCGGGGAGUACGGCCGCAAGCUAAAGAAAAAAAAAAAAAAAAAAAAAAAGG